AUUGAACGCUGGCGGCAGGCCUAACACAUGCAAGUCGAGCGGAUGAAGGGAGCUUGCUCCUGGAUUCAGCGGCGGACGGGUGAGUAAUGCCUAGGAAUCUGCCUGGUAGUGGGGGAUAACGUCCGGAAACGGGCGCUAAUACCGCAUACGUCCUGAGGGAGAAAGUGGGGGAUCUUCGGACCUCACGCUAUCAGAUAAGCCUAGGUCGGAUUAGCUAGUUGGUGGGGUAAAGGCCUACCAAGGCGACGAUCCGUAACUAGUCUGAGAGGAUGAUCAGUCACACUGGAACUGAGACACGGUCCAGACUCCUACGGGAGGCAGCAGUGGGGAAUAUUGGACAAUGGGCGAAAGCCUGAUCCAGCCAUGCCGCGUGUGUGAAGAAGGUCUUCGGAUUGUAAAGCACUUUAAGUUGGGAGGAAGGGCAGUAAGUUAAUACCUUGCUGUUUUGACGUUACCAACAGAAUAAGCACCGGCUAACUUCGUG
Molecule: ribosomal RNA, 484 nt
Filed under: uncultured bacterium
Lineage: Bacteria
Description: partial 16S ribosomal RNA
Rfam family: Bacterial small subunit ribosomal RNA
Source: RNAcentral